GAGGGUGUGUCUUUCUCAAAGUAAUCAAAAAGAUAACCAAUUUCAUCAGCAUGAGACGCGCCAUCUGAUGUUAUAUUUAAUUUAUUCUUCACGAAAUUUCUACCGCCACUGUAUGAAAAUACAUAUCGGAAAACAGCCUUAGCACCGUGUUCAAUGAAUUUCUUCAUACUUUUCUCCAUCGGGUAGUUAAAAUAAAUGUCUGAGCUAAAAUCAAUGAUUUCCCAUUUUAAGUUUUCGUUAACUUCCUCAUCACCGAUAUAGAAAUGACGAACGAUGUCCUCCAUUUCCCGAAAUUCUUCAUUGUAGUGGAAGGCUUCAUUCAGUGAAGUGUUAAAUCCGUUCCAAGUAUUGUAGAAACUAGCAGGUUCAUUUCCAUACAUAAAUAGAUAUUCUUGAGUAUUAAACCCGGCUAAAACUGGAACGUUGUUGAUAUUAGGAACAUCCAUAUUGAGAGGGUGACCGGUCACAAAAGCUUCAACGCCUUCGAAAUCCUGUUCAAUACAGGGACCAAAUUCUAAUUCUAAUUCUGAAGCAGCGUCAAUUACUAAUCUUGUAUCGACACCUUUUAAGAAAUUAAGUGCUUCAGAAGAAUCGUCUGUUUGAAAACCGAGAUGAUGAGCUAUCUGUAACGGCGCCGUUUCAUCUGAACCUCUCAUAGUCCACGAGCCUAAAAUCGAUCCGCUUUGUAAAAUCACUUGGUUGUAUAACUGCGGCUCACUGAAGUAUACGUGGUAUUCGACUGACGCUGCUCCAGCGCUCUCACCCAUAAUAGUAAUUUUAUUAGCAUCACCAUCGAACUCAGCAAUGUUCUCUUUUAUCCAACGCAACGCCAAAACUUGGUCCUUUAGACCUUGGUUUCCUGGGACUUCUGGUGUGUUUAGGCACAUGAAUCCAUAUGGACCUAGUCGGUAAUUGAGAGUGACUAGUAUAACGUUAUGUUGGACCAAAAACUUAGGUCCAUAGAGGUAUCUAUUAGAAAAGCCAUAUGCAAAUGCACCGCCGUGUAUCCAGACGAGUACUGGUAGCCUGUUGCUGCUGCUGGCUAGGUGUGGGACGUAUACGUUUAAGUGGAGGCAGUCCAAUGUACCAACAAUAGUAUUAUUGAAUUCUUCGAUUUGUGGACACAUCGCUGAUUCAUCGUAGGCUGAAAAAACGCCUUCGAAUGCUGGGUGAGGAACAGCAGCCUGUAACAAAUAUGUAAUUGUUUUAGUCUCAUCCCACUGUGUGAGUCUUUUAGUUAAUUACUAAAGUUGACUCUAUCCUUUUUU
This 1268-nucleotide unclassified non-coding RNA is filed under the name Melitaea cinxia (Glanville fritillary). RNAcentral's name for it is "misc RNA ENSMCXG00005020364.1". The record is from RNAcentral. Lineage: Eukaryota; Metazoa; Arthropoda; Insecta; Lepidoptera; Nymphalidae.